This 366-nucleotide long non-coding RNA is filed under the name Mus pahari (shrew mouse). Its description in RNAcentral is "lncRNA (MGP_PahariEiJ_G0002960.1)". Lineage: Eukaryota; Metazoa; Chordata; Mammalia; Rodentia; Muridae. The record is from RNAcentral.
CCCCAAGGAGAAAAAAAAAAAAAAAAGAGGCCCGGCUUUUUUAGAGCAAGACAAAUCCAGAGAGAUGAAGUGACUGACCCAAGGUUACACAGAAUGGAAUCUAUAUCUUCUGAUUUCUCUACUGGCCUGCACUCCAAGUUCUGAGGAGCAGUCCUUGAAGCUGCUGAGAUAAUGGAACAAUGGCGUAGAUAGUCCAUUAUAACUCAUCUGUGAUUCUUCUCAAGUUCAAGUGACCACAGAAAAAAGGUUGUCCUGCCCCAUUCUGUCCCUUAUGCUGUACCCAUGGUAACCGCAUCAGCCUGAGAAGAUUGUAAUGUUACUUCUCUGCUUGAGAUGUUAGGGGACUAGAGAUGGCUCAGCAGUUAA